RNAcentral lists this ribosomal RNA (497 nucleotides) under uncultured bacterium. RNAcentral describes it as "partial 16S ribosomal RNA". It matches the Rfam family "Bacterial small subunit ribosomal RNA", at positions 28 to 507 of the family's 1533-position model. The record is from RNAcentral.
GAUGAACGCUGGCGGCGUGCCUAAUACAUGCAAGUCGAGUGAACAGACGAGGAGCUUGCUCCUCUGACGUUAGCGGCGGACGGGUGAGUAACACGUGGAUAACCUACCUAUAAGACUGGGAUAACUUCGGGAAACCGGAGCUAAUACCGGAUAAUAUAUUGAACCGCAUGGUUCAAUAGUGAAAGACGGUUUUGCUGUCACUUAUAGAUGGAUCCGCGCCGCAUUAGCUAGUUGGUAAGGUAACGGCUUACCAAGGCAACGAUGCGUAGCCGACCUGAGAGGAGGGUAGGCCACACUGGAACUAGUAAGCGGACCGGACUCGGACGGGAGGCAGCAGUAGGGAAUCUUGCGCAAUGGGCGAAAGCCUGACGGAGCAACGCCGCGUGAGUGAUGAAGGUCUUCGGAUCGUAAAACUCUGUUAUUAGGGAAGAACAAAUGUGUAAGUAACUAUGCACGUCUUGACGGUACCUAAUGAGAAAGCCACGGCUAACUACGUG